CAGUCGCCGCGGUAAUACGUAGGUCCCGAGCGUUGUCCGGAUUUAUUGGGCGUAAAGGGAGCGCAGGCGGUUUAGUAAGUCUGAAGUUAAAGGCAUUGGCUCAACCAAUGUAUGCUUUGGAGACUGUUAGACUUGAGUGCAGAAGGGGAGAGUGGAAUUCCAUGUGUAGCGGUGAAAUGCGUAGAUAUAUGGAGGAACACCGGUGGCGAAAGCGGCUCUCUGGUCUGUCACUGACGCUGAGGCUCGAAAGCGUGGGUAGCGAACAGGAUUAGAUACCCGCGUAGUCCCUGUCUCUUAUACA
RNAcentral lists this ribosomal RNA (301 nucleotides) under uncultured bacterium. RNAcentral describes it as "partial 16S ribosomal RNA". It matches the Rfam family "Bacterial small subunit ribosomal RNA", at positions 509 to 808 of the family's 1533-position model. The record is from RNAcentral.